AAAUCGAAAGAAAAAAAACCCUAAAAAUCCUCUUCUUCUUCUUCUUCUUCUUCUUCUCCUUCUCCUAUAUCCUCCCCUGCAAAAAAAUUAUUUCUCCAUCGCGAUGGUUCAUUCAUCGCGUCUCUUUUCUUCUCCGUCCUUUCUUCUUCUCAUUCUCUCUGUUUUUUCAUAUUUACUAUUGGUUUUAUUUUGCAGGUGCGGUUUUUGAAGAAGAGAUAAAUAACCAAACCUUAACUUCUCUGUCCUUUCUUCUUCUCGAUUCUUAGUUUUAUUUUUCCUUUUACUAAAAAGAGACGAUUUUUUAUUUCCCAUGAAUUUCACUGAAAAGAAGUGUAGAAAUUGGAAACGCGACCAGGAAAACACGAGCUUGAUGAGUACACAAAUGAGAUUAAUGUUGAUUCAAGGUUUUGUGUAUUUAGAAAGAAGAAAUCCAGGGUAUUAUGAAACAAGGUUUGUGAUUAUUGUAUUAUGGUUUUAAUUAAAUCUUUGUUUCUGUUGAUUAUUAUGAAUCCGUUUGCAUUAUGAGUGAUUUUCAGGUCCUAAAAAUUUGGGACAAAAUUGGCUUACCAUUAGAAGUUGGGUUUAUGUUAACCUCUUACAGUAUUUCUUUAAUAUAUAUAUAUUCUGAUUUGGUCUCCAUCAGGUACAUAUUUGUUAUACAAUGUAAGGUAAUUUAGAAAACAAGGAUUUUAUUGUGUUGCAUACCGACACUCUAACAUAAGACAGAUUGGUAAAAUGUAUUCUGCUGACUAUUCACUUGAUUAUUCCAUUUAAGUUAUUCUGUUAGACAUUUGAAGGGACUGUUUUCCUUUCGAUGUUUAUUAAGUUGAAAUGCAAGGAACUAUUAAUUCACAAAUUUGAAUUUUCAGGUAUUAACAAUUAUUUUCUGAGUGUGGUUGGAAAACUCAAGCUUGAGGUUGUUUAUGUUUCUGUUUUGUACUUUCUGUGUCUUUAUGGAGACACUCAGUCAAUCAAGAACGCUUAGAAACAACAUUCAAAGCUCUUCCUGUGCCACAGGGGCUCUUUUCAUAUUCAAUGGGUGCAUAUCCAGCUGUGCAAAACGUGUGGCCUGCAGGUUAUGCAUCUCAACCACAUGCUUGGAACCAGGCUUCCACGUGCACAGAGACAACAAUGGAACACUGGAUACACUCAACAGGCGGGAAUUCAUAGUAAAUGUUAACUUCUUUUUUUUUUUUUUUUUUUUUUGCAAUUCACAAUUCUCACUGCCCAUGCUCAUCCAUUUGAUUCCUGGGACACUGUUAGCUCAGGAUAAAGGUUUAGUGGUUUAAUUUUUGCGUAACUGAGGUUAUGUAUGUUCUUAGUGCAUUCUUAGAGAAGAAGGAGAUGAGCAAGGGAACAUGAAGCGUUAGACAAAAUGCAUAAGCUGCUUGGUGGUAAAAGAUAACGAAAGGGAGAAAGAAAACCAUAAAAUCAUACAAAGAUUGACCGAAAAAUUAUGAAUCGGGUAAAUUCUAUUUAGGUUUAAUUCUUCCAGUUCAUGUAUGUGGUUUGUUCAACCAUUUCAUAUAUGUGGCCACUUAGCUUAUACAUUUUCUACAGUAAUAGAGACGAGUAAGUGAUCUUUGUUUGAGAGUAUGUUACUUUAGUUAAUACUUUGAAGUCUUUGACAGAAUAUAGUAUAUCUUCAUUGGAUUCCUUACAUUGAUCUCACUACCGGGAUGAGGUUUACGCAUACAUAUCAACGUUAGAAAGCAAAGUAAAGUAAAACAAAUAUCAUGGUCUUUAUUCUCCACUGCCGAUUAUUAAGGACUGAUUUUUUCUUACGCACGGAUGUGUAGUAUUUACUUUUUGGUUGAAAUUGUUGGUUGUUGUCCGUGUUGAUAGGGAUAUUAGUAUUACUGCAUAUGGACAGUACUAGGUUCUCAGUUCUACACGGUGCCUGAUGCUGCCAUCAUUCGUAUGACCAGUCCAAACUGAAUUGUGUUAGUAUUCUUCAAUCUUUUUCACUUUACCAUUGAAGUAGAAGGUAAAAUUCUUCAAUUUUUUUUAAAUAUAUUUCCAUUAAAAGAGUUGACUGUGCAUCAAGCUAUUAGCUAUCAUUACCCUGAACUAACAAAAAAAAGGUUCAAAACAAGUUGAUUGUGUAUUAGAUCACGAAAUUUCCAGUUUCUUGAACAUCUAGCCAGAAUACAUCUUUUGUUUAAGGGCAGCAAAGUAAAGUAAAGCAAAUAUCAUGGUCUUUUUUUUCUCCAUUGCCGAUUAUUAGUAGUAAGGACUUAUUUUUUCUUAUGCGUGAAUGUGUAUAGUAUUUAAUUUUUAGUUGAAAUUGGUGGUUGUUGUCUGUGUUGAUAGGGAUGUUAGUAUUACUACAUAUGGACAGGGUACAAGGUUCUCGGUUCUAGACAGUGCCUGAUGCUGCCAUCAUUUGUAUGACCAGUCUAAACUGAAUUGUGUUAGUAUUUUUCAAUUUUUUUUUGUUUUACUAUUGAAGCAGAAGGUAAAAUUCUUCGAUCUUUUUCUUUUUAUAUACUUUCCAUUAAAAGAGUUGAUUGUGCAUCAAGCUAUUAGCUAUCAUUACCCUGAACUAACAAAAAAAGGUUCAAAACAAGUUGAUUAUGUAUUGGAUCACGAAAUUUCCAGUUUCUUGAACAUUUAGCCAGAAUGCAGCUUUUGUUUAAGGACGGCAACGGGGUUGUCUAUUUAAGUUUUUUGUUUUUACAGUACUUAGCUCUGCAUACCUAGCAAAAUUCACAAGGAGUUGGCAUGCUUUUGGGGCUGUAAGUAACGUGCUCUCGACUAAUGUGUUCUCAAGUAAGAAUUAAGCAUUCUUAUGUCCAGAAAUUUUAAAAGUAAGCAUAGCAUAAAGUUUGUGCUAAAAGCGCAAAUGUUUCCCAGUAGUCCAAUUGUACGAGUAUUGACACCAGUUUGGUGGAUUUUUUUUUUUUUUUUUUUAUGAUGCAUUCACUUUUGCAGUAUGAAUUUGGCAUUUUUGAUACUGCUGAUUGUAUGUGUUGAUUUUGAGGAUAUUGUAGUUUUGGAUAGUAAGGCAGAUAUAUCGUUACUUAUGUGUGUUUAUUUGCAGAUAUUUUUUAUUGCCGAGGCCUUAGAACAGGAAAGCACCUGUUAAUAUAAGAUUUUACCUGGAUUCCUAUGAAGUUGACGAGCUUUGUUGCGCUGCUGAACAUGCUUUUAUGCAGGAGCUUACAGUUUUGCAGUUGAAGACCCCUGUUAAAGUAUUUGGUCAUCUUCUUUAACUGUUAAAUGGGUUUUAUUGUGCAGAGCUACCAGCUCAUGAAUUAUGAUGAGCACUCAAAUUUUAAUGCAAAUAUGUGCAACAAAGACUGUUAUACUGAGGAUCAUGGUGUUAUCUCCUGUAAGACAACCAUUCUAAAAGAUUCGAGCGCAAGGAAUUUUCAUAUGCAUCCGACUUGUUUCAUUGGUUACAUCCACAUAAGCUUAGGGAAGCUUUUCCGGCACAAGCUAAACGUUUUUCUUCUUUACGCAACUUUGACCAUUUCAUUGUUAAUGUGCAACCAGGUGUUAGAUAUCUAUAUUAGAUGGAAUUUUAUCUAUAGAAACAUUUCUUAUACAAUUAUUAUAAUCAAGGGUUAUUAUUGUAACGCA
Molecule: RNA transcript, 3585 nt
Organism: Papaver somniferum (opium poppy)
Lineage: Eukaryota; Viridiplantae; Streptophyta; Magnoliopsida; Ranunculales; Papaveraceae
Exons: 5
Source: RefSeq, a predicted model, not a curated record